RNAcentral lists this ribosomal RNA (421 nucleotides) under uncultured bacterium. RNAcentral's name for it is "bacterial SSU rRNA". It matches the Rfam family "Bacterial small subunit ribosomal RNA", at positions 355 to 776 of the family's 1533-position model. The record is from RNAcentral.
UGAGGAAUAUUGCACAAUGGACGCAAGUCUGAUGCAGCGACGCCGCGUGCGGGAAGACGGAGCUCUGCUCUGUAAACCGCUGUAGCCCGGGAAGAAAGCCGCCUUAGAGGCGAGAGACUGUACCGGGAAAGUAAGGAUCGGCUAACUACGUGCCAGCAGCCGCGGUAAUACGUAGGAUCCAAGCGUUGUCCGGAUUUACUGGGUGUAAAGGGUGCGCAGGCGGACUAGUAAGUCAGGGGUGAAAUCCCGCAGCUCAACUGCGGAACUGCCUUUGAUACUGUUAGUCUUGAGUGUGAGAGAGGUUCGUGGAAUUUCCGGUGUAGCAGUGAAAUGCGUAGAUAUCGGAAAGAACACCAGUGGCGAAGGCGGCGAACUGGCUCACAACUGACGCUCAGGCACGAAAGCGUGGGGAUCAAACAGG